Molecule: ribosomal RNA, 492 nt
Filed under: uncultured bacterium
Lineage: Bacteria
Description: partial 16S ribosomal RNA
Rfam family: Bacterial small subunit ribosomal RNA
Source: RNAcentral
AUUGAACGCUGGCGGCAUGCUUUACACAUGCAAGUCGAACGGUAACAGGCCUUCGGGUGCUGACGAGUGGCGAACGGGUGCGUAAUGCAUCGGAACGUACCCAGAGGUGGGGGAUAACGCAGCGAAAGCUGUGCUAAUACCGCAUGUGAUCUGAGGAUGAAAGCGGGGGACCGAGCAGCAAUGUUUGGCCUCGCGCCUUUGGAGCGGCCGAUGUCGGAUUAGCUAGUUGGUGGGGUAAAGGCCUACCAAGGCGACGAUCCGUAGCUGGUCUGAGAGGACGACCAGCCACACUGGAACUGAGACACGGCCCAGACUCCUACGGGAGGCAGCAGUGGGGAAUUUUGGACAAUGGGCGCAAGCCUGAUCCAGCAAUGCCGCGUGCGGGAAGAAGGCCUUCGGGUUGUAAACCGCUUUUGGCAGGAACGAAACGGUGUCCGCUAAUACCGGGCGCUAAUGACGGUACCUGCAGAAUAAGCACCGGCUAACUACGUG